GAUCCUGGCUCAGGACGAACGCUGGCGGCGUGCUUAACACAUGCAAGUCGAACGAGAAUCUGCUGAAGGAGGAUUCGUCCAACGGAAGUAGAGGAAAGCGGCGGACGGGUGAGUAACGCGUGAGGAACCUGCCUUGAAGAGGGGGACAACAGUUGGAAACGACUGCUAAUACCGCAUGACGCAUAGAGGUCGCAUGAUCUUUAUGCCAAAGAUUUAUCGCUUCAAGAUGGCCUCGCG
This 237-nucleotide ribosomal RNA is filed under the name uncultured bacterium. RNAcentral describes it as "partial 16S ribosomal RNA". It matches the Rfam family "Bacterial small subunit ribosomal RNA", at positions 15 to 235 of the family's 1533-position model. The record is from RNAcentral.